GGGUUGUGAGGUUAAGCGACUAAGCGUACACGGUGGAUGCCCUGGCAGUCAGAGGCGAUGAAGGGCGUGCUAAUCUGCGAUAAGCGCCGGUAAGGUGAUAUGAACCGUUAUAACCGGCGAUACCCGAAUGGGGAAACCCAGUGUGACUCGUCACACUAUCAUUAACUGAAUCCAUAGGUUAAUGAGGCGAACCGGGGGAACUGAAACAUCUAAGUACCCCGAGGAAAAGAAAUCAACCGAGAUUCCCCCAGUAGCGGCGAGCGAACGGGGAGGAGCCCAGAGCCUGAAUCAGCAUGUGUGUUAGUGGAAGCGUCUGGAAAGGCGCGCGAUACAGGGUGACAGCCCCGUACACAAAAGCGCAUGUGCUGUGAGCUCGAUGAGUAGGGCGGGACACGUGGUAUCCUGUCUGAAUAUGGGGGGACCAUCCUCCAAGGCUAAAUACUCCUGACUGACCGAUAGUGAACCAGUACCGUGAGGGAAAGGCGAAAAGAACCCCGGCGAGGGGAGUGAAAAAGAACCUGAAACCGUGUACGUACAAGCAGUGGGAGCCCCACCACCAAAGCAUUCUCUGGUGUUGAAGGCCCUGCAAAGCAGCAUCGCGGUGGCGGAGCGUCGUUUGCGACGCCCAACACACAAAACAAGCGGUGAGUGCUUUGGGGUGGGGUGACUGCGUACCUUUUGUAUAAUGGGUCAGCGACUUAUAUUCUGUAGCAAGGUUAACCGAAUAGGGGAGCCGGAGGGAAACCGAGUCUUAAUUGGGCGUUAAGUUGCAGGGUAUAGACCCGAAACCCGGUGAUCUAGCCAUGGGCAGGUUGAAGGUUGGGUAACACUAACUGGAGGACCGAACCGACUAAUGUUGAAAAAUUAGCGGAUGACCUGUGGCUGGGGGUGAAAGGCCAAUCAAACCGGGAGAUAGCUGGUUCUCCCCGAAAGCUAUUUAGGUAGCGCCUCGUGAACUCAUCUCCGGGGGUAGAGCACUGUUUCGGCUAGGGGGCCAUCCCGGCUUACCAACCCGAUGCAAACUGCGAAUACCGGAGAAUGUUAUCACGGGAGACACACGGCGGGUGCUAACGUCCGUCGUGAAGAGAUACCAAGGCGCUUGAGAGAACUCGGGUGAAGGAACUAGGCAAAAUGGUGCCGUAACUUCGGGAGAAGGCACGCUGACACGUAGGUGAAGUGAUUUACUCAUGGAGCUGAAGUCAGUCGAAGAUACCAGCUGGCUGCAACUGUUUAUUAAAAACACAGCACUGUGCAAACACGAAAGUGGACGUAUACGGUGUGACGCCUGCCCGGUGCCGGAAGGUUAAUUGAUGGGGUCAGCGCAAGCGAAGCUCCUGAUCGAAGCCCCGGUAAACGGCGGCCGUAACUAUAACGGUCCUAAGGUAGCGAAAUUCCUUGUCGGGUAAGUUCCGACCUGCACGAAUGGCGUAAUGAUGGCCAGGCUGUCUCCACCCGAGACUCAGUGAAAUUGAACUCGCUGUGAAGAUGCAGUGUACCCGCGGCAAGACGGAAAGACCCCGUGAACCUUUACUAUAGCUUGACACUGAACAUUGAGCCUUGAUGUGUAGGAUAGGUGGGAGGCUUUGAAGUGUGGACGCCAGUCUGCAUGGAGCCGACCUUGAAAUACCACCCUUUAAUGUUUGAUGUUCUAACGUGGACCCGUAAUCCGGGUUGCGGACAGUGUCUGGUGGGUAGUUUGACUGGGGCGGUCUCCUCCUAAAGAGUAACGGAGGAGCACGAAGGUUGGCUAAUCCUGGUCGGACAUCAGGAGGUUAGUGCAAUGGCAUAAGCCAGCUUGACUGCGAGCGUGACGGCGCGAGCAGGUGCGAAAGCAGGUCAUAGUGAUCCGGUGGUUCUGAAUGGAAGGGCCAUCGCUCAACGGAUAAAAGGUACUCCGGGGAUAACAGGCUGAUACCGCCCAAGAGUUCAUAUCGACGGCGGUGUUUGGCACCUCGAUGUCGGCUCAUCACAUCCUGGGGCUGAAGUAGGUCCCAAGGGUAUGGCUGUUCGCCAUUUAAAGUGGUACGCGAGCUGGGUUUAGAACGUCGUGAGACAGUUCGGUCCCUAUCUGCCGUGGGCGCUGGAGAACUGAGGGGGGCUGCUCCUAGUACGAGAGGACCGGAGUGGACGCAUCACUGGUGUUCGGGUUGUCAUGCCAAUGGCACUGCCCGGUAGCUAAAUGCGGAAGAGAUAAGUGCUGAAAGCAUCUAAGCACGAAACUUGCCCCGAGAUGAGUUCUCCCUGAGACUUAGAGUCUCCUGAAGGAACGUUGAAGACGACGACGUUGAUAGGCCGGGUGUGUAAGCGCAGCGAUGCGUUGAGCUAACCGGUACUAAUGAACCGUGAGGCUUAACCUUACAACGCCGAAGGUGUUU
Molecule: ribosomal RNA, 2375 nt
Filed under: Salmonella enterica subsp. enterica serovar Kentucky
Lineage: Bacteria; Pseudomonadati; Pseudomonadota; Gammaproteobacteria; Enterobacterales; Enterobacteriaceae
Description: 23S ribosomal RNA
Rfam family: Bacterial large subunit ribosomal RNA
Source: RNAcentral